AAGGCUAAAUACUCCUGAGAGACCGAUAGCGAACCAGUACUGUGAAGGAAAGGUGAAAAGAACCGCGAACAGCGGAGUGCAAUAGAACCUGAAACCGUGCGCCUACAAACGGUCGGAGGCCAGGCCAUAGCUUGCUAUGGUAGUAGCUAACGGCGUGCCUUUUGCAUAAUGAGCCUACGAGUUACUCCUCUCUGGCAAGGUUAAGUGUUUUAAAGCACGGAGCCGAAGCGAAAGCGAGUCUGAACAGGGCGAAGAGUCAGAGGGGGUAGACGCGAAACUUUGUGAUCUACCCAUGACCAGGUUGAAGGUCCGGUAACACGGACUGAAGGACCGAACCAGUUGACGUUGAAAAGUCUUUGGAUGAGUUGUGGGUAGGGGUGAAAGGCUAAUCAAACUGAGAGAUAGCUCGUACUCCCCGAAAUGCCUUUAGGGGCAGCCUCGAGGUUGAGUUUUAUAGAGGUAGAGCUACUGAUAGGAUGCGGGGGCUUCACCGCCUGCCAAUUCCUGACAAACUCCGAAUGCUAUAAAAUAUACUCGGGAGUGAGGCGUAGGGUGCUAAGGUCCUGCGCCGAGAGGGAAAGAACCCAGACCAUCAGUUAAGGUCCCCAAAUGUAUGCUAAGUUGAUCUAACGAGGUUCGACUGCAUUGACAGCUAGGAUGUUGGCUUGGAAGCAGCCAUUCAUUUAAAGAGUGCGUAACAGCUCACUAGUCGAGCGGUCGGGCGUGGAUGAUAAUCGGGCAUAAGUAUACUACCGAAACUGUGGAUUUCCGACGUAAAGUCGGAACUGGUAGGGGAGCAUUCCGGUCCGCGUAGAAGGUGUGUUGUAAGACAUGCUGGAGCGUCCGGAAAAGCAAAUGUAGGCAUAAGUAACGAUAAUGCGGGUGAGAAACCCGCACACCGGAAGACCAAGGUUUCCUGAUCAACGCUAAUCGGAUCAGGGUUAGUCGGGACCUAAGGCGUAGCCGAAGGGCGAAGUCGAUGGACAACAUGUUAAUAUUCAUGUACCGGCAAUAACUGCGAUGGGGUGACGGAGUAGUGACAGGCAUGCGUACUGACGGAAUAGUACGUUGAAGGGUGUAGAUAUAUCAUUUACAGGCAAAUCCGUAGAUGAUGUCGAACCUGAUAGUACCGUGAGGCUUCGGCCAAGCGGAUAAUUGCUGUAAACAGACUUCCAGGAAAAACCUCUAAGCAUCAGGUUAUUGGCGCCCGUACCGGAAACCGACACAGGUGGUCGAGGAGAGUAUCCAAAGGUGCUCGAGUGAAUCAUAGUUAAGGAACUAGGCAAAUUAGUCCUGUAACUUCGGGAGAAAGGACGCCCCGAGCAAUCGGGGCCGCAGAGAAAUGGCCCAGGCGACUGUUUAUCAAAAACACAUGGCUUUGCUAAAUCGAAAGAUGACGUAUAAGGCCUGACACCUGCCCGGUGCUGGAAGGUUAAGAGGAGAGGUUAGUCGCAAGGCGAAGCUUUGAAUUGAAGCCCCAGUAAACGGCGGCCGUAACUAUAACGGUCCUAAGGUAGCGAAAUUCCUUGUCGGGUAAGUUCCGACCUGCACGAAUGGUGUAACGAUCUGGGCACUGUCUCAACUAUGAGCUCGGUGAAAUUGUAGUUCCGGUGAAGAUGCCGGAUACCCGCAACGGGAC
Molecule: ribosomal RNA, 1639 nt
Filed under: bioreactor sludge metagenome
Description: bacterial LSU rRNA
Rfam family: Bacterial large subunit ribosomal RNA
Source: RNAcentral